GAUGAAGAACGCAGCGAAAUGCGAUAAGUAGUGUGAAUUGCAGAAGUACCGUGAAUCAUCGAAUCUUUGAACGCAAAUUGCACUCUCUGGUAUUCCGGGGAGUAUGCCUGUUUGAGGGUCGCUUAACAAACCAUCGAUUUCGUUGCUUUUUUUUUAAAGUGAUGUUUAUCGGAUUUGAGCCGUCUUUUUUUUUAUAUUUAAGUGGCUUAAAAUUGAUUUUUUUGGUACGAUCGAAGCGUAUUUUUAUGAUCAAUUUUUGGUUAAAGAAACGCACACGUACCGUUAUUUAUAUGAUGUAAUACGUUUGACUAUUGGAUUUAGUUCAUUCGUAUACGAUAUCUUUCAAUAUUUGACCUCAAAUCAGGUAAGAACACCCGCUGAACUUAAGCAUAUCAAUAAGCGGAGGA
Molecule: unclassified non-coding RNA, 407 nt
Filed under: soil metagenome
Description: partial contains 5.8S ribosomal RNA, internal transcribed spacer 2, and large subunit ribosomal RNA
Rfam family: 5.8S ribosomal RNA (bases 1-121)
Source: RNAcentral